UGGGGGUGGAGCUUCACUGCAAGGGUUAAUGCAGUCCUUAGAGAUUGAGUGGGAUUUUCACACCCCCUGGCACAGCUCCUCUUCUGGGAAGGUGGAGCGAAUGAACCAGACAUUAAAGAAGCAAUUAACUAAAUUAGUGUUAUAAACCCAACUUCCUUGGGUAAAAUGCUUACUCCUACAGGUUCAAAGAGCACCAA
Molecule: long non-coding RNA, 197 nt
Organism: Oxyura jamaicensis (ruddy duck)
Lineage: Eukaryota; Metazoa; Chordata; Aves; Anseriformes; Anatidae
Exons: 3
Source: RefSeq, a predicted model, not a curated record